MicroRNA precursor from Pan paniscus (pygmy chimpanzee), 83 nucleotides. Ensembl annotates it as microRNA 488. Its record names the gene MIR488. The record is from Ensembl. Lineage: Eukaryota; Metazoa; Chordata; Mammalia; Primates; Hominidae.
GAGAAUCAUCUCUCCCAGAUAAUGGCACUCUCAAACAAGUUUUCAAAUUGUUUGAAAGGCUAUUUCUUGGUCAGAUGACUCUC